UACGUAGGGUGCGAGCGUUGUCCGGAAUUACUGGGCGUAAAGAGCUCGUAGGUGGUUUGUCGCGUUGUUCGUGAAAACUCACAGCUCAACUGUGGGCGUGCGGGCGAUACGGGCAGACUGGAGUACUGCAGGGGAGACUGGAAUUCCUGGUGUAGCGGUGGAAUGCGCAGAUACCAGGAGGAACACCGGUGGCGAAGGCGGGUCUCUGGGCAGUAACUGACGCUGAGGAGCGAAAGCGUGGGGAGCGAACAGG
RNAcentral lists this ribosomal RNA (253 nucleotides) under uncultured bacterium. RNAcentral's name for it is "partial 16S ribosomal RNA". It matches the Rfam family "Bacterial small subunit ribosomal RNA", at positions 524 to 776 of the family's 1533-position model. The record is from RNAcentral.